This 620-nucleotide ribosomal RNA is filed under the name uncultured bacterium. RNAcentral's name for it is "bacterial SSU rRNA". It matches the Rfam family "Bacterial small subunit ribosomal RNA", at positions 104 to 737 of the family's 1533-position model. The record is from RNAcentral.
GGGUGAGUAACGCGUGAGAAACCUGCCCUUAAGUGGGGAAUAACACCGAGAAAUCGGUGCUAAUACCGCAUAAUAUCUCUGGAUCGCAUGUUCCUGGAGAUCAAAGGAUUUAUUCGCUUAAGGAUGGUCUCGCGUCCGAUUAGUUAGUUGGUGAGGUAACGGCCCACCAAGACCGCGAUCGGUAGCCGAACUGAGAGGUUGAUCGGCCACAUUGGGACUGAGACACGGCCCAGACUCCUACGGGAGGCAGCAGUGGGGAAUAUUGGGCAAUGGGGGAAACCCUGACCCAGCAAUGCCGCGUGAAGGAUGAAGGUCUUCGGAUUGUAAACUUCUUUGAUUGGGGAAGAAUAAAGUGACCUACCCAAAGAACAAGUCACGGCUAACUACGUGCCAGCAGCCGCGGUAAUACGUAGGUGACAAGCGUUAUCCGGAUUUACUGGGUGUAAAGGGCGUGUAGGCGGCUUUGCAAGUCAGAUGUGAAAUUCCCGGGCUUAACCUGGGCGCUGCAUCUGAAACUGCAAAACUUGAGUGCUGGAGGGGAAAGCGGAAUUCCUAGUGUAGCGGUAAAAUGCGCAGAUAUUAGGAGGAACACCGGUGGCGAAGGCGGCUUUCUGGACAGU